UUCUCCGUAUCUCAAAACGCAGCGUUUGGAUAUCCUCCGUUCUUCUUCCUCUAUACAAUUUCCUUCGAUCCUUUCCCCAGUAAAACGCAGCAUUUUAGUUUAUCCGUUUCUUACCCUCUUCUUCCUCAAGACGCGGGAUUCUUCCAGAUUAGGGUUUCUUGCCAUUAGCUAAGGAGUUCGAAUCUUCAUAUGAUUCCUAGCCUGUGUUGCCUCAUUCAUUGACCUUCCAUGGACUCUACUCAAUUGGCCUCUAAAUCAAAGAAAAAAGGAAAAACCUGACAAGUACAAACCAUGAAGUUCCAUCUGUUUUCUAGAUGAGGAAGUGUUUCUUAUUGCAUUCCUUAUUGUCUUCCUGUCAUUGAUGAUGUGCUUGAGUGGCUCUUAGAGCUGUAUCCUGAAUGCUCUAGAUGAGGGUUGCUAAUCACAUCCUGCAAAAGAUCUCUCUGCAAUGGUUCAAACCUUAAACAAUAAUUCAAAACUAUUUAGUUUAAUAUGCACAUUUGGUUUGAUAUUGAGGAUUUCUAAGAACCAUGAUAAGUAUUAGGAUAGUUGAUGAAUGUUAUGCUGCUACAUUUGGUACACAUAGAGGGCUAUAAUCCAAAAAAUACAAAAAAAAAAAAGGAAGGAAAAUGCUUCCCAUCCCAUAGACCUAUGCCAGCAUUUUAAAUACUUCCCAAGUUAUUGGGCCACACCUUUGUCUAGGAGAUCUUCUAUAUGUGAUUCAUGGUAGGUUUUACUCAUCUAUCCCUUGGUAUGUCUGCCCUGUGUGCCAGGAAGAUGUCUGUACCCCCAAUACAUAACCAAGGUUUCCGGAUUGACUUCUUGCAUAAGUAAAUAAUUCCUGGUAAUUAUCAUAUAACUAAUGCUUAAGCAUUUUGUGAUUGGCAUCGCUACUGCAGUUUUUGAAAUUAUUCUCUAAGAGGUACUUUUUUUGUAACAUUUAAAAACAUUAAUUUUUUUUUCCCCAUAGCAUUUGAAUGAGUCUACUUUGUUUUCACACUAAUGUAGAAUAUGCUAUAUCCAGAUUUCUAGUUAACCUUUACUUUAUUGUUCUGUUAUUCUUUUGGUGAUUUUGAACAAGAUUUAGCCUGAGCUUUUUUGUUGGUACUUCAUGGUAGUGUUCUGCUAUUCUUUUGGUGAUUUAAAAUACUAUAUGAUAUGAGGUUUUUUGUGGUAUUGGUACUUCUAAAUGUUAAUGCAGAAUAUGUAAAUAUUAGGGUCCACAAAUGACCGUACUUUGUUUUUCUGCUGUUGUUUUGGUGAUUUACAUGAAUAUUUUAUGUGAGCCUUUGUAUGAAAAUGUGUCCUGAUGCCACCACAAAAAAUUCAUAUCUAACCAUCUAAUAUUUCAUUUAAACAUGCAACUGCUAGGAAGUCUGCAUUUUCUAACCAACCUGUGCCAUGGAAACUUGGCUGUGAAUAGGGGAAGGCCCGGAAGGGUCUGCCAUUCUGUCCCACAUUGUUUGGUUCAUGUUUUCUUCGGCAAGGUUCCUCAAUCUGUUAAGCUCUGGCAAGAUAACCUUACCCAGAUCUGGUCUGUCUUUCCGCCUUAGCUCUGCACAUUGAAGUGCCAUCUUUGCAAAGCUCAAGGCUUCUUCAACUGGCCAAUCAGGCACCGCCGGGUCCAAUAUCUCCUUGAAUGUUCCCUUCUCAAUGGCCUGCUCAACUUGGAUCAAUAUAGCAGAAGGUUCCAGCUGUUGAUGUCAUGUGACACCUCGUUUCAUUUUCAGCGACAGAACGGGGUACAAGCCUUGCCAAUCCUACAUCACUAAUCUUACUGACAUAGUUGUAGUCUAGCAAAAUGUUGCCAGGCUUGAGGUCGCGGUGCACUAGUGGCUCUGGCUUGGUCUGGUGGAGAAAGAGCAGGCCAGUGGCAAUCUCUGCAGAGAUUCGAAACCUGAGUUGCCAAGAGAGAGGAGUAAAAGGAAGUCUUCAAUAUGUAUGAUAAGGUGGGACAAAAGAGAAGCGCUUCACAAACUUUGCAAGAUGAAGAAUCCAUCACUGAAGCAAUAGAUUCAACACCCAGAAAUUCGGAGUUGUUCAGCUACUGCUUGGGUUUGGAUGUGGAGAUUGUACGAAAUCAUGUUUGAAGAUAAGAGGGGAAAUGUGAGGGGCUGUACGAGAAGCAUUUCUCACAGAAGAUAUCUUUCCUUUUGAGAUGACAUACACGGUGCAGAAAUCUGCUGCUCCUUUGGAUACACUGCCUGGAACAUCUGUGAUCUUGAAUCUUCUGUGUGGAAAAGAGUAAAUAAGCUGAGAGAAAUCAGAUUAGACUGUAAACAUCCAUCCAGCGGUGCUCAAUGAAGGAAAUAUUCUAUAAUCUGAAGAAUUGAAAGAGUAGAGCUCCAAAACCUACAUCUUUACGUCUACAAAAGCAAUGGAAGGUGACAAACAGAUCCUUUACAUUCUUGUCAAGAUUAUUUUGUCCCGAUACAAUUGCACUAUCAACAUCAUGAACAGGUGUAUAUUCCCCCACUGCACCCACAAAAGAAGGUCAUUGGCUACAAAUGUGAAUCGACAAAAUUAGCUGCAGGUGUAAGAACAGAUUCAAAAUCUUGCUAGACCGAUACAAAAUUUCUUAUUUGUUUAUCUUGUAACUUAGGCUUAUGCACGUAACUUUUAUUCUGUGAUUCCUUCUUACUGUUAAUGUAGAUACCUAAAUCAACCUGAUCUAUUUAAUCCUACCAUCAUUCUCUUAUUGGAGUAA
Long non-coding RNA from Vitis riparia (riverbank grape), 2707 nucleotides. RefSeq lists it as uncharacterized. NCBI's taxonomy places the organism in Eukaryota, Viridiplantae, Streptophyta, Magnoliopsida, Vitales, Vitaceae. The transcript has 6 exons. The record is from RefSeq and is a predicted model, not a curated record.